UGUUGAAGGGAUAAUAAGCCUUGCAGGAACUCGAGUGUUGACAAAAAAAAUUAGCCUACGAUUAUCUGAUCAACU
Non-coding RNA from Zea mays, 75 nucleotides. NCBI's taxonomy places the organism in Eukaryota, Viridiplantae, Streptophyta, Magnoliopsida, Poales, Poaceae. The record is from Rfam.